GAGGAAUAUUGGUCAAUGGACGAGAGUCUGAACCAGCCAAGUAGCGUGAAGGAUGACUGCCCUAUGGGUUGUAAACUUCUUUUAUAUGGGAAUAAAGUGAGCCACGUGUGGCUUUUUGUAUGUACCAUACGAAUAAGGAUCGGCUAACUCCGUGCCAGCAGCCGCGGUAAUACGGAGGAUCCGAGCGUUAUCCGGAUUUAUUGGGUUUAAAGGGAGCGUAGGCGGACUAUUAAGUCAGCUGUGAAAGUUUGCGGCUCAACCGUAAAAUUGCAGUUGAUACUGGUCGUCUUGAGUGCAGUAGAGGUAGGCGGAAUUCGUGGUGUAGCGGUGAAAUGCUUAGAUAUCACGAAGAACUCCGAUUGCGAAGGCAGCUUACUGGACUGUAACUGACGCUGAUGCUCGAAAGUGUGGGUAUCAAACA
Molecule: ribosomal RNA, 421 nt
Filed under: uncultured Bacteroides sp.
Lineage: Bacteria; Pseudomonadati; Bacteroidota; Bacteroidia; Bacteroidales; Bacteroidaceae
Description: bacterial SSU rRNA
Rfam family: Bacterial small subunit ribosomal RNA
Source: RNAcentral